UGUUCAGGGGUAAACCUGUGGUUCCCGAAAGUUCGAACGGGGAGAUUCAAUUGCCUCGCCGGUUAUGACCAUUUAACAGUGAUAUGUUUAUAUAUAUAUUAGAGACAUUAUAUGGCGGUUGCGGGUUUAUUCUCGUAGCUGUUUCUGUGUAGUGCUCCACUGUUUUAUGAUAUAUAGUUUAUAGCCGGAGGCGUGCACUUCUCCCCUUGUAGGACGUCGUGACCCAUUGGAUUAUGUUGUCUAAGGCUUAUAAUGGAGACCGUGACAUUAGGGCCGAAAGGCCUCAAUGAUCCGGACUUAUAAUGUCCCGACAUCUAUCCGAUGGUAUAAUUAUGAUGAUAGAUCGCUAUAAAUGCGUAUGAGCGUUCAGAUCCAUAACAAAUUCUUUAUAUGAUAUUUAAAUAGUGGAAAUCGGAUUUAAUGCCGAUUCUACACAUAUGGUAUUGAUAGUUAUGGUAUUCUCGAACCGUUCUUUAUCAUCAGUCAACGGCGUUUAUGUUUUGGGUAAUUACAGGACCCGUCUUGAAACACGGACCAAGGAGUCUAGCAUGUGCGCAAGUCAUUGGGACUUUGUGAAACCUAAAGGCGUAAUGAAAGUGAAAUAUUUGUGAAUUUUCGUAAUUCACUGAAUUUAAGGGAAGAUGGGUAACGGUUUUUAUGUUACCUCGCAUUCCCGGGGCGUCGCGUACUUAUUGCAAGUUGCGGCGCACCAAGAGCGUACACGCUGGGACCCGAAAGAUGGUGAACUAUGCCUGGUCAGGAUGAAGUCAGGGGAAACCCUGAUGGAGGUCCGUAGCGAUUCUGACGUGCAAAUCGAUCGUAUGAACUGGGUAUAGG
This 837-nucleotide ribosomal RNA is filed under the name Calathus carinatus. Its description in RNAcentral is "eukaryotic LSU rRNA". It matches the Rfam family "Eukaryotic large subunit ribosomal RNA", at positions 406 to 921 of the family's 3401-position model. The record is from RNAcentral. Lineage: Eukaryota; Metazoa; Arthropoda; Insecta; Coleoptera; Carabidae.